GUACUAUUGGUGUAGAGAUGAAAUUCUUUGAUACUAAUAGGACGGAUAACAGCAAAAGCAAACCUUUAUGUAAAAACUGACGUUGAGGGACGAAGGCUUGGGUCGCGAAUAGGAUUAGAUACCCUAGUAGUCCAGGCAGAGAAUUAUGAAUGUUAUAGACUUGCGUAUGCAAGUGUAUAAAUGAAAGUGUAAGCAUUCCACCUCAAGAGUAAUGUGGCAACGCAGGAACUGAAAUCAUUAGACCGUUUCUGAAACCAGUAGUGAAGUAUGUUAUUUAAUUCGAUAACCCUCGAAAAACCUUACCACAAUUUGAAUACUUCGACCAAAGGUCGUUGUACAAGUGUUGCACGGCUGUCUUCAGUUAAUGUCGUGAGAUUCUGGUUAGAUCCAUUAAAUUAACGUAAACCCUUACUUUAUUUGUUUUUUAUAAAGUAGUUCACCGCUAUAUUGGAUGUGAUAACAGGGACCAAGACAAGUCAUCAUGACCUUAAUAUUGUGGGCUAUAGACGUGCCACAUAUGCCUUUACAA
RNAcentral lists this ribosomal RNA (529 nucleotides) under Crustomastix stigmatica. RNAcentral's name for it is "partial Bacterial small subunit ribosomal RNA". It matches the Rfam family "Bacterial small subunit ribosomal RNA", at positions 664 to 1242 of the family's 1533-position model. Lineage: Eukaryota; Viridiplantae; Chlorophyta; Mamiellophyceae; Dolichomastigales; Crustomastigaceae. The record is from RNAcentral.